RNAcentral lists this ribosomal RNA (663 nucleotides) under uncultured bacterium. RNAcentral's name for it is "bacterial SSU rRNA". It matches the Rfam family "Bacterial small subunit ribosomal RNA", at positions 28 to 740 of the family's 1533-position model. The record is from RNAcentral.
AACGAACGCUGGCGGCAGGCUUAACACAUGCAAGUCGAACGCCCCGCAAGGGGAGUGGCAGACGGGUGAGUAACGCGUGGGAACGUGCCCUUCGCUUCAGGAUAGCCUCGGGAAACUGGGAGUAAUACUGAAUACGCCGUAUUGGGAAAGAUUUAUCGGCGAAGGAUCGGCCCGCGUUAGAUUAGGUAGUUGGCGGUGUAAUGGACCACCAAGCCUACGAUCUAUAGCUGGUCUGAGAGGAUGAUCAGCCACACUGGGACUGAGACACGGCCCAGACUCCUACGGGAGGCAGCAGUGGGGAAUCUUGGACAAUGGGCGAAAGCCUGAUCCAGCCAUGCCGCGUGAGUGAAGAAGGCCUUAGGGUUGUAAAACUCUUUCGCCGGAGAAGAUAAUGACGGUAUCCGGAGAAGAAGCCCCGGCUAACUUCGUGCCAGCAGCCGCGGUAAUACGAAGGGGGCUAGCGUUGUUCGGAAUUACUGGGCGUAAAGCGCACGUAGGCGGGUUUGUAAGUAGGGGGUGAAAUCCCAGGGCUCAACCCUGGAACUGCCUUCUAAACUGCAAGCCUGGAGGUCAGGAGAGGCGAGUGGAAUACCGAGUGUAGAGGUGAAAUUCGUAGAUAUUCGGUGGAACACCAGUGGCGAAGGCGACUCGCUGGACUGAUAC